This 35-nucleotide transfer RNA is filed under the name Plagiothecium undulatum. Its description in RNAcentral is "Buckiella undulata partial tRNA-Leu". RNAcentral also lists the same sequence under 90 other names. The record is from RNAcentral. Lineage: Eukaryota; Viridiplantae; Streptophyta; Bryopsida; Hypnales; Plagiotheciaceae.
GGGGGUAUGGCGGAAUUGGUAGACGCUACGGACUU